CAAGUCGAGCGGGGUAUGUAGCUUGCUACAUUACCUAGCGGCGGACGGGUGAGUAAUGCUUAGGAAUCUGCCUAUUAGUGGGGGACAACAUUCCGAAAGGAAUGCUAAUACCGCAUACGCCCUACGGGGGAAAGCAGGGGAUCUUCGGACCUUGCGCUAAUAGAUGAGCCUAAGUCAGAUUAGCUAGUUGGUGGGGUAAAGGCCUACCAAGGCGACGAUCUGUAGCGGGUCUGAGAGGAUGAUCCGCCACACUGGGACUGAGACACGGCCCAGACUCCUACGGGAGGCAGCAGUGGGGAAUAUUGGACAAUGGGCGAAAGCCUGAUCCAGCCAUGCCGCGUGUGUGAAGAAGGCCUUUUGGUUGUAAAGCACUUUAAGCGAGGAGGAGGCUACUUAGAUUAAUACUCCAGGAUAGUGGACGUUACUCGCAGAAUAAGCACCGGCUAACUCUGUGCCAGCAGCCGCGGU
This 468-nucleotide ribosomal RNA is filed under the name uncultured bacterium. RNAcentral describes it as "bacterial SSU rRNA". It matches the Rfam family "Bacterial small subunit ribosomal RNA", at positions 58 to 521 of the family's 1533-position model. The record is from RNAcentral.